Molecule: long non-coding RNA, 766 nt
Filed under: Salvia miltiorrhiza (redroot sage)
Lineage: Eukaryota; Viridiplantae; Streptophyta; Magnoliopsida; Lamiales; Lamiaceae
Description: long non-coding RNA (SMIL_LNC005900)
Source: RNAcentral
CACCACUUCACGUCUUCACAUCCCCACCAAAAUUCCCUCACUUUCACUAAUCACUACUAACCUAAUUGUAAUUCACGCCAAAUUAAGAGGAUCUCAUCUCCACUUUCACCUUUUGCAGCUAGGGAUCGAAACCCUGGAAGCCGCCCGCCACUGAGCACCCUAGUGUCGCCCGCUGCUCUGCACCCUAGCGGCGCUGCCCACCGCUCUUCUCCAUCAGUCGCGGCACGCCGCUCUGCACACCCUAGCGCCGCCGCACGCUGCUUGCUCCAUAUGCCGCCGCUCGCCGCUCUGCUCCAUCAGCCGCUGCACGCCUCCGCCAAAAUCGUAUCAUUUUCCUUCCAACCCCUCUGUUCCAGGUACAGUUGAAUUAAUUUAUUGGUAAUCAGAUUUAUUUUUCAAUUUACUGCAUUUUCUCCCUCUGUUCCUUUUUUGGCGGUCGUCGAGCCCCUUUUCUCCGUUUUGCUGUUUUCUCCUCGACUCCCUUUGUAAACGUUAUUUUUGGGUUGCAUGCAGACCCGCUACAGGGCGAUUUUCCAGAAGUAAUAGAGGAGUAUUUGGAGUAUAUCAGUAAUGGCGAGUGAAGGAUGCCCGGGUUAUUAAUAUUUCUUGGCAGACUUCCUUAGUCCUUAGCUUCUUUAACAGAUCUAUUAGUGUGAUUUUGUUAUGUACAUUUGUGUUUUGUGUUGGUAUAUGUCAGUUUUUUUUUUGGUGAAAUAUAUGUCGAAACUGUGGAGCCGCCCGCCGCUGAGCACCCUAGUAUAUUACU